Cryptomeria japonica (Japanese cedar) is the source of this 504-nucleotide long non-coding RNA. RefSeq lists it as uncharacterized. The transcript has 2 exons. The record is from RefSeq and is a predicted model, not a curated record. NCBI's taxonomy places the organism in Eukaryota, Viridiplantae, Streptophyta, Pinopsida, Cupressales, Cupressaceae.
CAUAUUACAUGCGAUGUUUGUUUCUACAAAAAAAAAUAAAAAAAUACAAAGCCCAUUUUAGGGCAUGCAACAUAACUUUGAACCCUAAUUUUGGCACAUUUCAUCUUUUCAUCUUUCUGGAAACUGCUGGAGGAGCUCUUUGUUGGCCGCCAUAUGCAUUAUAUUUGUUGUUUGAUGAAGCUCGAAUAAUGGUUUGAAGGCUUUUGAGAAAAAUUCUUGAGGCAUCCACUUAGUCUUAAAGGCUCGGUAAAAGAACGGUCAUCAUAUGGAGUGGAUAGCAAGAUGUUUGGAUCAAUGAAGCUGAUCGAAAGAAUCUUCUUCAGAACUAAUCAACCUAUCUAGGCAAUGAUGUGUUCUUUCUUUCUUUUCCUUUUUCAUACAUUCUUUUAUUUCUUUUGUGUUUACGUUUCUAUGAUCAAUGAGAUCUUUUCUCAGCUAUUCCCAUGACUUGUGUGGGAUCUUGUAAACAAUUUGUUUUCAUAAAUAAAAAUGUAUUUUAUGCAA